GGGAUUUCAGUCUCCACAUAGUUUUGGAGCCGGACUUUUGAAGAAUGAUUCAUGAAUCCGGAAUGGGUGACAGCAUCAUCACGGCAUUUUAUUGACAGACCAUGGAUUCUUACAAUGCACCAGAAUCAACUCCUAGUGCAUCCUCAAGACCUGAAGAUUACUUUAUAGGUGCCACUCCUCUGCAGAAACGAUUAGAAUCGGUCAGGAAGCAGAGUUCAUUUAUCCCGACUCCACCUCGAAGGAAAAUUCCCCAGUGUUCGCAGUUGCAGGAAUGAAAGGAACACAAAGGGACCCGGAAGCAUUUCUUGUCCAGAUUCUGUCAAAAUCUCAAUUGCCAUCUGAGAAUAGAGAAGAUAAAGUGUUGUGGACUGGCUGGUUCUGCUGUAUAUUUGGAGACAGUCUUCUGGAGACUGUUUCAGAAGAUUUCACCUGUCUGCCCUUAUUCCUUGCAAAUGGAGCAGAGUCUAACACAGCAAUAAUUGGAACUUGGUUUCAGAAAACCUUUGACUGUUAUUUCAGUCCUUUAGCAAUCAAUGCAUUUAAUCUUUCCUGGAUGGCUGCCAUGUGGACUGCAUGCAAAAUGGACCAUUAUGUGGCUACUACUGAAUUUCUUUGGUCUGUACCCUGUAGCCCUCAAAGUCUGGACAUUUCUUUCGCAAUACAUCCAGAGGAUGCAAAAGCUCUAUGGGACAGUGUCCACAAAACACCUGGGGAGGUUACCCAGGAAGAAGUUGACCUAUUCAUGGACUGCCUUUAUUCACAUUUCCAUAGACAUUUCAAAAUUCAUUUAUCAGCCACAAGAUUAGUUCGUGUUUCAACAUCUGUAGCUUCAGCACAUACUGAUGGAAAAAUAAAG
This 856-nucleotide small RNA is filed under the name Pongo abelii (Sumatran orangutan). RNAcentral describes it as "processed transcript". The record is from RNAcentral. Lineage: Eukaryota; Metazoa; Chordata; Mammalia; Primates; Hominidae.